This 73-nucleotide transfer RNA is filed under the name Marmota monax (woodchuck). RNAcentral describes it as "tRNA.Ser". Lineage: Eukaryota; Metazoa; Chordata; Mammalia; Rodentia; Sciuridae. The record is from RNAcentral.
GGGCUGGGGCUCGGCGGUAGAGCGCUCGCCUAGAGCGUGCAAGGCCCUGGGUUCGAGCCUCAGCACCAUAUCA